UAAGUCCCAACUUGAGGAUUU
RNAcentral lists this non-coding RNA (21 nucleotides) under Arabidopsis thaliana (thale cress). The record is from RNAcentral. Lineage: Eukaryota; Viridiplantae; Streptophyta; Magnoliopsida; Brassicales; Brassicaceae.